RNAcentral lists this transfer RNA (77 nucleotides) under Promethearchaeota archaeon. Its description in RNAcentral is "Candidatus Lokiarchaeota archaeon (permafrost metagenome) tRNA-Val". It matches the Rfam family "tRNA". From Rfam's summary of the family: Transfer RNA (tRNA) molecules are approximately 80 nucleotides in length. Their secondary structure includes four short double-helical elements and three loops (D, anti-codon, and T loops). Lineage: Archaea; Promethearchaeati; Promethearchaeota. The record is from RNAcentral.
GGGCCCGUGGUCUAGCUCGGUAUGACGUCUCCUUGACGUGGAGAAGGUCGUGCGUUCAAAUCGCACCGGGCCCACCA